ACUGAGACACGGNCCAAAUUCCUACNGGAGGCAGCAGUAGGGAANUUUCGGCAAUGGAGGAAACUCUGACCGAGCAACGCCGCGUGAACGAUGAAGUAUUUCGGUACGUAAAGUUCNUUUAUUAGGGAAGAAUAAAUGAUGGAAAAAUCAUUCUGACGGUACCUAAUGAAUAAGCCCCGGCUAACUAUGUGCCAGCAGCCGCGGUAAUACAUAGGGGGCAAGCGUUAUCCGGAAUUAUUGGGCGUAAAGGGUGCGUAGGCGGUUAAAUAAGUUUAUGGUCUAAGUGCAAUGCUCAACAUUGUGAUGCUAUAAAAACUGUUUAGCUAGAGUAAGAUAGAGGCAAGUGGAAUUCCAUGUGUAGUGGUAAAAUGCGUAAAUAUAUGGAGGAACACCAGUAGCGAAGGCGGCUUGCUGGGUCUUUACUGACGCUGAGGCACGAAAGCGUGGGGAGCAAACAGGAUUAGAUACCCUGGUAGUCCACGCCGUAAACGAUGAGUACUAAACGUUGGGUAAAACCAGUGUUGAAGUUAACACAUUAAGUACUCCGCCUGAGUAGUACGUACGCAAGUAUGAAACUUAAAGGAAUUGACGGGACUCCGCACAAGCGGUGGAUCAUGUUGUUUAAUUCGAAGGUACCCGAAAAACCUCACCAGGUCUUGACAUGCUUCUGCAAAGCUGUAGAAACACAGUGGAGGUUAUCAGUUGCACAGGUGGUGCAUGGUUGUCGUCAGCUCGUGUCGUGAGAUGUUGGGUUAAGUCCCGCAACGAGCGCAACCCUUAUUGUUAGUUACCAGCACGUAAUGGUGGGGACUUUAGCAAGACUGCCAGUGAUAAAUUGGAGGAAGGUGGGGACGACGUCAAAUCAUCAUGCCCCUUAUGACCUGGGCUACAAACGUGAUACAAUGGCUGUUACAAAGGGUAGCUGAAGCGCAAGUUUUUGGCGAAUCUCAAAAAAACAGUCUCAGUUCG
Molecule: ribosomal RNA, 969 nt
Filed under: 'Idiodonus wickhami' phytoplasma
Lineage: Bacteria; Bacillati; Mycoplasmatota; Mollicutes; Acholeplasmatales; Acholeplasmataceae
Description: bacterial SSU rRNA
Rfam family: Bacterial small subunit ribosomal RNA
Source: RNAcentral